GGCUACGGCCAUACCACCCUGAACGCGCCCGAUCUUGUCUGAUCUCGGAAGCUAAGCAGGGUCGGUCCUGGUUAGUACUUGGAUGGGAGACCGCCUGGGAAUACUGGGUGCUGUAGGCU
This is a ribosomal RNA of Rattus norvegicus (Norway rat), 119 nucleotides long. NCBI's taxonomy places the organism in Eukaryota, Metazoa, Chordata, Mammalia, Rodentia, Muridae. The record is from Ensembl.